This 900-nucleotide ribosomal RNA is filed under the name uncultured archaeon. RNAcentral describes it as "bacterial SSU rRNA". It matches the Rfam family "Archaeal small subunit ribosomal RNA", at positions 5 to 879 of the family's 1478-position model. The record is from RNAcentral.
CGGUUGAUCCUGCCGGACCCCACUGCUAUCGGGAUAGGAUUAAGACAUGCUAGUCAAGCGCCUCCCAACCAUGGUUGGAGGCGCGGCGUACAGCUCAGUAACACGUGGCUAACCUGCCCUUGGGACGGGGAUACCCCCGGGAAACUGGGGCUAAUCCCCGAUAGGUGAAGAACUCUGGAAUGAGUCUUCACCCAAAAGGCGCCUUAAACAUGCUUUUAGGCGCCGCCCAAGGAUGGGGCCGCGUCCGAUCAGGUAGUUGGUGAGGCAACGGCUCACCAAGCCUUUAACCGGUGCGGGCCGUGAGAGCGGGAGCCCGGAGAUGGGCACUGAGACAAGGGCCCAGGCCCUACGGGGCGCAGCAGUCGCGAAAACUUUGCAAUACACGAAAGUGUGACAGGGCUAUCCCGAGUGCCAUCCGCUGAGGAUGGCUUUUACCCAGUUUAGAAAGCUGGGAGAAUAAGGAGAGGGCAAGCCUGGUGUCAGCCGCCGCGGUAAUACCAGCUCUCCGAGUGGUGUGGAUGUUUAUUGGGCCUAAAGCAUCCGUAGCUGGCUGAGUUAGUCCCCUGUUAAAUCCAGCGAAUUAAUCGUUGGAGUGCGGGGGAUACUGCUCGGCUAGGGGGCGGGAGAGGCCGACGGUAUUUUCGGGGUAGGGGUGAAAUCCUAUAAUCCCGGGAAGACCACCAGUGGCGAAGGCUGUCGGCUAGAACGCGCCCGACGGUGAGGGAUGAAAGCUGGGGGAGCGAACCGGAUUAGAUACCCGGGUAGUCCCAGCUGUAAACGAUGCAGGCUAGGUGUUAGGGCGGCCACGGGCCGCUCUAGUGCCGCAGGGAAGCCGUUAAGCCUGCCGCCUGGGGAGUACGGCCGCAAGGCUGAAACUUAAAGGAAUUGGCGGGGGAGCAC